Molecule: long non-coding RNA, 219 nt
Filed under: Nicotiana benthamiana
Lineage: Eukaryota; Viridiplantae; Streptophyta; Magnoliopsida; Solanales; Solanaceae
Description: long non-coding RNA (NBEN_LNC000928)
Source: RNAcentral
ACACUUCCUUACCUUCAUUAUUGUCAGGUCAUCCAUUGGACCAUCAGGUGUCCUGUUCAUCAUUGCUCCUAAAGCAGUUCUCAUUGCAAUCUGCAUUGCUGCUUCAACUUCCUUGGAAGCUUCAAGAGCAGUUGAAUUAGCUGCGGCAACUACAGUGGCCACUGUUCCCAAUUUUGUCGACCCAUUUCCACUUAACGAGUUCACAGCCUCUUUGUGAGC